GAUGAACGCUGGCGGCGUGCCUAACACAUGCAAGUCGAGCGUGAUUGUGUGGAUUGAAGCUUCGGCAGAGAGAAACACAUGAAAGCGGCGGACGGGUGAGUAACGCGUGGGCAACCUGCCCCAUACAGCGGAAUAGCCACUGGAAACGGUGAUUAAUGCCGCAUAAGACCCCGGUGUCGCAUGACACAGCGGUCAAAGAUUUAUCGGUAUGGGAUGGGCCCGCGUCUGAUUAGCUAGUUGGUGAGGUAACGGCUCACCAAGGCGACGAUCAGUAGCCGACCUGAGAGGGCGGACGGCCACACUGGAACGGAGACACGGUCCAGACUCCUACGGGAGGCAGCAGUGGGGAAUAUUGCACAAUGGGCGCAAGCCUGAUGCAGCAACGCCGCGUGAGUGAAGAAGGCCUUCGGGUCGUAAAGCUCUGUCCUGUGGGAAGAAAAAAAUGACGGUACCACAGGAGGAAGCCCCGGCUAACUACGUGCCAGCCGCCGCCGUAA
RNAcentral lists this ribosomal RNA (497 nucleotides) under uncultured bacterium. RNAcentral's name for it is "partial 16S ribosomal RNA". It matches the Rfam family "Bacterial small subunit ribosomal RNA", at positions 28 to 523 of the family's 1533-position model. The record is from RNAcentral.